RNAcentral lists this ribosomal RNA (460 nucleotides) under uncultured bacterium. RNAcentral describes it as "partial 16S ribosomal RNA". It matches the Rfam family "Bacterial small subunit ribosomal RNA", at positions 338 to 795 of the family's 1533-position model. The record is from RNAcentral.
CCUACGGGAGGCAGCAGUGAGGAAUAUUGGUCAAUGGACGAGAGUCUGAACCAGCCAAGUAGCGUGAAGGAUGACUGCCCUAUGGGUUGUAAGCUUCUUUUAUAUGGGAAUAAAAUGUUCCACGUGUGGGAUUUUGUAUGUACCAUAUGAAUAAGGAUCGGCUAACUCCGUGCCAGAAGCCGCGGGAAUACGGAGGAUCCGAGCGUUAACCGGAUUGAUUGGGUUUAAAGGGAGCGUAGGUGGGUUGUUAAGUCAGUUGUGAAAGUUUGGGGCUCAACCGUAAAAUUGCAGUUGAAACUGGCAGUCUAGAGUACAGUAGAGGUGGGCGGAAUUCGAGGUGUAGCGGUGAAAUGCUUAGAUAUCACGAAGAACACCGAUUGCGAAGGCAGCUCACUGGACUGAAACUGACACUGAGGCUCGAAAGUGUGGGUAUCAAACAGGAUUAGAUACCCGGGUAGUC